CAMCCCCUGUGACAUACCAAUUGUUGCCUCGGCGGAUCAGCCCGCUCCCGGUAAAACGGGACGGCCCGCCAGAGGACCCCUAAACUCUGUUUCUAUAUGUAACUUCUGAGUAAAACCAUAAAUAAAUCAAAACUUUCAACAACGGAUCUCUUGGUUCUGGCAUCSAUGAAGAACGCMGCAAAAUGCGAUAAGUAAUGUGAAUUGCAGAAUUCAGUGAAUCAUCGAAUCUUUGAACGCACAUUGCGCCCGCCAGUAUUCUGGCGGGCAUGCCUGUUCSAGCGUCAUUUCAACCCUCAAGCCCAGCUUGGUGUUGGGACUCGCGAGUCAAAUCGCGUUCCCCAAAUUGAUUGGCGGUCACGUCGAGCUUCCAUAGCGUAGUAGUAAAACCCUCGUUACUGGUAAUCGUCGCGGCCACGCCGUUAAACCCCAACUUCUGAAUGUUGACCUCGGAUCAGGUAGGAAUACCCGCUGAACUUAAG
RNAcentral lists this ribosomal RNA (479 nucleotides) under Fusarium verticillioides. Its description in RNAcentral is "eukaryotic LSU rRNA". Lineage: Eukaryota; Fungi; Ascomycota; Sordariomycetes; Hypocreales; Nectriaceae. The record is from RNAcentral.